RNAcentral lists this ribosomal RNA (136 nucleotides) under uncultured eukaryote. RNAcentral describes it as "partial 18S ribosomal RNA". It matches the Rfam family "Eukaryotic small subunit ribosomal RNA", at positions 1299 to 1458 of the family's 1831-position model. The record is from RNAcentral.
UGGUGGAGUGAUUUGUCUGGUUAAUUCCGUUAACGAACGAGACCUUAGCCUGCUAACUAGCUUGUUGUCCUACUCAGGGCUUCCAGCUUCUUAGAGGGACUUUGUGCAAAACACAAGGAAGUUUGAGGCAAUAACA